This is a small nucleolar RNA of Gossypium raimondii (Peruvian cotton), 78 nucleotides long. It matches the Rfam family "Small nucleolar RNA U61". NCBI's taxonomy places the organism in Eukaryota, Viridiplantae, Streptophyta, Magnoliopsida, Malvales, Malvaceae. The record is from Rfam.
UAGCGAUGAUGAAUAUUAUAGUGUACCAGAGGAGUCUCCGGUGACGGUAAUACAGUCCCUCUAAGAAGUUCUGAGCUU